This 2299-nucleotide unclassified non-coding RNA is filed under the name Leishmania donovani. RNAcentral describes it as "gene:LdHU3.17.2080(CDS-product:zinc-finger_protei n_ZPR1_putative)". Lineage: Eukaryota; Euglenozoa; Kinetoplastea; Trypanosomatida; Trypanosomatidae. The record is from RNAcentral.
CAGGGGGCUCGCAUCGUACACACUCUCCAAUCAACCCCACCGUCCCUCCAACCACUGACGCGAUUCACACAAACCCCACCCAGCGUCAACUCGCUCAUUCGCACACCUCCGAGGCGCGACCCUGUGGACCAUGUCAGAAAAGGAACACGAUGAAACGCCUGUGACUGCCGAGGGGCCGGCUGCAGCGCACGAGGGCAGCAAAACGGACCUGAAUGGGAAGGAGAGGCGCACAAACUACAUCAAGACGGACCUAGGCGAGCUGAACAUGAUUGAGUCCAUGUGCCCCAAGUGCCAGGAGAUGGGCACGACGCGCCUUAUGAUCACGAGUAUUCCUCACUUCAAGGAGAUCAUCGUCAGCAGCUUCGAGUGCCAGCGCUGUGGUGAGGUCAAUAACGAGGUCGCGUUUGGAGGCACUUUUGGCCCCAAGAGGGUACGCUACGAGUUGCAGGUGCAUAGCAAGCAGGAUCUGGACCGGCAGGUGGUCAAGUCGGAGUUCGCCACCAUCGCAAUCCCUGAGCUAGAGCUGGAGAUUCCGCCGGAGUCGCAGAAGGGAAACCUGAAUACCGUCGAGGGCAUCUUGGAGCAGACAUACAGCGGCCUUCAACUUCAGCAGCCGCUGCGCAAGAUUCAGCACCCAGAUCUGUACGAGAAGAUCGAGGCUUUUUGCGCGAAGUUGGAGUCCUUUCGGAGCGGUGAUGUCCCCUUUACCCUCACUCUCGACGACCCAGCAGGGAAUAGCUACAUUGAACCCAUCCACGACUACUACCACCCAACUCUCGACCCUCAGCUCACCAAGUACGAAAAGGAGCGCACCGAGAUCGACCGCCAGCUGCUCGGCAUCGCCAUCGACUACAACACGGAGCGGACGAAGGAGGAGGAGAAGGACGUGGAGGAGGGCCAGUUCAGCGACGUGACGCAGAUCCUGUGCGACUGCCCUGCUUGCCGCAGGCCUGGGCAUCUCAUGAUGCACGAAUGUGAUAUUCCGUACUUCAAGCAGACAAUUAUUAUGGCCUUCAAGUGCGAGUACUGCGGCUACAAGAGCAACGAGAUCAAGGCGGGUGGCGAAAUCAACCCGAAGGGGCUGCGGCUCACUCUGCACGUCAAGUCGGAGGCGGACCUCAAGCGUGACGUGCUCAAGUCCGAUACGGCCACGCUGAUCAUCCCGGAGGUGCGUCUUGAGCUGGCGCCUGGCACCUUGGGCGGCUUCUUUUCCACUGUCGAGGGCACCAUCACUCAGGUGCGCGACCAGCUCAUGAAUCUACCUCAGGCUGCCUUCGCCGCUGGCGACUCGGCCGAUGACAACUCGAAGACGAUGCUCGAGUUCGUGAAGGAGCUAGACGAGCUGCUGGCUCUCAGGGAGGAGUUUACCUUCAUCCUCGACGACCCCCUUGGUAAUGUAUACAUCCAGAACCCUUGCUCACACCUGCCUCCGCCAGACGACGUGGACCCGAAGCUGGAGAGAGAGGAGUACACCCGCACGGAGGAGCAGGACGAAGAGCUCGGUAUUCGUUCUAUGCGCCACAACGAGGAGCAGGCCAACAUUGAGAAGUCGGAGGAUGAGGCGGACCACGAGGCUGAAGAAAAGGACGGUGCCGCCGCUGAGGAGCAGGAGACCGAACAGUGAGGGCCUGAGUGGCAUACCAGGAUCAGCGAGGCUGUAGCAGCGCGUGCCUAGUAGACGCUUCUCAGCAGAGGUUAUAGUGACGCCGGCGGGGAUUCGGUGGUUAGGUGAGCGUGCGGCAUGGCGAAAAUGCUGUGUGAAGGGUGGCUACUGCCGCUGCUAUUUCUGUCUCUGCGUUCCAUUUCGCCUUCCCUUCCCUUAGCCCUAAUACUUCGGCGUGGCGAAGACACGUGAGUGCAAGCGCUCUUCUUGAUGCGCGCUUUUUCCUCUCGCACACAUACACAGACGGACGCAGGCUUGCUUGUUAAGACGCCGAUUAAGCGCCACUAAGCUACAACAGCAGCAACAGCAACACAAGGACAUGCUACCUCGCGCGCCGCGCGAAAGAAGAACACUUUGCGCGUGUGUCUCAUCUCCGGUGCAGUGCACGCCGAAGGCACCACCGACGCCGCUGAGCCCUCCUUGCGCACUCCUAUUCCCCGCCGGCAGAGACGACGACACAGAGAUGCACAUGGAUGGGAACCUCUCGCGCCCUGUGAGGACUACCAGGGACGUUGCUCUGCAACCGUCCGUCACCCUCUGUGUCGUGUGUGUGAGUGUGCGCGAUUUCUUGUGAAGUCUUCUCUCCUCUCCCAUUUCUGCUCGGUGGCUUUCACGGCUGCACGUUCUCCUCCCCAG